This 415-nucleotide ribosomal RNA is filed under the name uncultured bacterium. RNAcentral's name for it is "bacterial SSU rRNA". It matches the Rfam family "Bacterial small subunit ribosomal RNA", at positions 355 to 794 of the family's 1533-position model. The record is from RNAcentral.
UGGGGAAUUUUCCGCAAUGGGCGCAAGCCUGACGGAGCAAUACCGCGUGAGGGAUGAAGGUUCGUGGAUUGUAAACCUCUUUUUUCAGGGAAGCGGUACCUGAAGAAUAAGCAUCGGCUAACUCCGUGCCAGCAGCCGCGGUAAGACGGAGGAUGCAAGCGUUAUCCGGAAUUAUUGGGCGUAAAGCGUACGCAGGUGGCACAUCAAGUCUGUUGUUAAAGCGCGGAGCUCAACUCCGUAAAAGCGAUAGAAACUGGUGAGCUAGAGUAUGGUAGGGGCAGGAGGAAUUCCCAGUGUAGCGGUGAAAUGCGUAGAUAUUGGGAAGAACACCAGCGGCGAAAGCGUCCUGCCAAGCCAAAACUGACACUCAUGUACGAAAGCUAGGGGAGCGAAUGGGAUUAGAUACCCCAGUAGU